GACAGAGGAUGCAAGCGUUAUCCGGAAUGAUUGGGCGUAAAGCGUCUGUAGGUGGCUUCUUAAGUCUGCUGUCAAAUCCCAGGGCUUAACCCUGGCCAGGCGGUGGAGACUACUAAGCUGGAGUACGGUAGGGGCAGAGGGAAUUUCCGGUGGAGCGGUGAAAUGCGUAGAGAUCGGAAAGAACACCAAAGGCGAAGGCACUCUGCUGGGCCGACACUGACACUGAGAGACGAGAGCUAGGGGAGCGAAU
RNAcentral lists this ribosomal RNA (250 nucleotides) under uncultured bacterium. Its description in RNAcentral is "partial 16S ribosomal RNA". It matches the Rfam family "Bacterial small subunit ribosomal RNA", at positions 524 to 773 of the family's 1533-position model. The record is from RNAcentral.